AGCACUGGGAGGGGGAGGGCUUCCCCGAACCCUUUCGAGGCUUCCACCCUCUAACACCUGGGUGCACCCGCUGGAAGUCCUUAAGGACCUAUGUCCUCUUCCAACUCCCAUGGCUACCGAACGUCCUCCGUGACCUCCGUCACAGGAAACCUAAUACAACUUUCAACAAUGGAUCUCUUGGCUCUCGCAUCCAUGAAAGACGCAACGAAUCCCGAUAAGUAAUGGGAAUUGGAAAAUUUCCGUGAAUCAUCCAAUCUUUGAACGCACCUUGGGCUCCUUGGUAUUCCCAAGAACAUGGCUGGUUGAAUGGCAUCCAAACAUCAGAACCAAACUUUCCACCUCCUCCGAACUCGGUUUGGACUUGUGGGAAUCUGCGGGCGAACCUCCCGUCCGGGGGACCUCCGCUCUCCUCAAAAGCAUUAACGUUGGGUGCGAACCUCGCGUGGCACGGCCUCUUCCACGUCCUAAUGACCGUCCUGGGCUGGAAGUGCGUGGAUCGUAAAUGCCCGUCGCUCUCCAACUCUGCGAGCCCGGUCCGUCCGGGCGCGUGGUAUCCAAACUUGACCUCCAAUCAAGUAAGACUACCCGCUGAACUUAAGCAUAUCAAAAAGCGGGAGGAAAAAUUAUCGAGAUCGAACCUCUGGGAGGGGAGGGCUUCCUCGAACCCUUUCGAGGCUUCAGCCUCUCACACAUGUGUGCACCGCUGUAUGUCUCUAUGGACCUAUGUCUCUUCUAACUCUCAUGUGUACACAACGUGUCCCGACCUCGGUCACAGGAAACUCAUACACAUUCUCACUGGAUCUCUGGGUCUCCAUCGA
This 818-nucleotide ribosomal RNA is filed under the name Scleroderma bovista. RNAcentral's name for it is "eukaryotic LSU rRNA". The stretch from base 158 to 312 matches the Rfam family "5.8S ribosomal RNA". The record is from RNAcentral. Lineage: Eukaryota; Fungi; Basidiomycota; Agaricomycetes; Boletales; Sclerodermataceae.